GGCUCGGUAUCUUAGUUGGUAAAGCACUUGUCUAGCGAAUAAGGGUCGUGAGUUCAAAUCUCACCUGAGCUG
Non-coding RNA from Aedes albopictus (Asian tiger mosquito), 72 nucleotides. Lineage: Eukaryota; Metazoa; Arthropoda; Insecta; Diptera; Culicidae. The record is from Rfam.